GGCCUAACACAUGCAAGUCGAACGGUAGCAGAGAAGCUUGCUCUUGGGUGACGAGUGGCGGACGGGUGAGUAAUGUCUGGGAAACUGCCUGAUGGAGGGGGAUAACUACUGGAAACGGUAGCUAAUACCGCAUAACGUCGCAAGACCAAAGAGGGGGACCUUCGGGCCUCUUGCCAUCGGAUGUGCCCAGAUGGGAUUAGCUAGUAGGUGGGGUAACGGCUCACCUAGGCGACGAUCCCUAGCUGGUCUGAGAGGAUGACCAGCCACACUGGAACUGAGACACGGUCCAGACUCCUACGGGAGGCAGCAGUGGGGAAUAUUGCACAAUGGGCGCAAGCCUGAUGCAGCCAUGCCGCGUGUAUGAAGAAGGCCUUCGGGUUGUAAAGUACUUUCAGCGGGGAGGAAGGUGAUAAGGUUAAUAACCUUAGCUAAUUGACGUUACCCGCAGAAGAAGCACCGGCUAACUCCGUGGCAGCAGCCGCGGUAAUACGGAGGUUGCAAGCGUUAAUCGGAAUUACUGGGCGUAAAGCGCACGCAGGCGGUCUGUUAAGUCGGAUGUGAAAUCCCCGGGCUCAACCUGGCAACUGCAUUCGAUACUGGCAGGCUGGAGUCUUGUAGACGGGGGUAGAAUUCCAGGUGUAGCGGUGAAAUGCGUAGAGAUCUGGAGGAAUACCGG
This 676-nucleotide ribosomal RNA is filed under the name Klebsiella oxytoca. RNAcentral's name for it is "bacterial SSU rRNA". It matches the Rfam family "Bacterial small subunit ribosomal RNA", at positions 45 to 712 of the family's 1533-position model. Lineage: Bacteria; Pseudomonadati; Pseudomonadota; Gammaproteobacteria; Enterobacterales; Enterobacteriaceae. The record is from RNAcentral.